GAUCGGUAGCCGGCCUGAGAGGGCGCACGGCCACACUGGAACUGAAACACGGUCCAGACUCCUACGGGAGGCAGCAGUGGGGAAUUUUGCGCAAUGGGGGAAACCCUGACGCAGCAACGCCGCGUGGAGGAUGAAGUCCCUUGGGACGUAAACUCCUUUCGACCGGGACGAUAAUGACGGUACCGGUGGAAGAAGCCCCGGCUAACUUCGUGCCAGCAGCCGCGGUAAUACGAGGGGGGCAAGCGUUGUUCGGAAUUAUUGGGCGUAAAGGGCGCGUAGGCGGUGCGACAAGUCACCUGUGAAACCUCUGGGCUUAACCCAGAGCCUGCAGGCGAAACUGUCGUGCUUGAGGGUGGGAGAGGUGCGUGGAAUUCCCGGUGUAGCGGUGAAAUGCGUAGAUAUCGGG
RNAcentral lists this ribosomal RNA (406 nucleotides) under uncultured bacterium. Its description in RNAcentral is "bacterial SSU rRNA". It matches the Rfam family "Bacterial small subunit ribosomal RNA", at positions 278 to 701 of the family's 1533-position model. The record is from RNAcentral.